RNAcentral lists this ribosomal RNA (253 nucleotides) under uncultured bacterium. Its description in RNAcentral is "partial 16S ribosomal RNA". It matches the Rfam family "Bacterial small subunit ribosomal RNA", at positions 524 to 776 of the family's 1533-position model. The record is from RNAcentral.
UACGUAGGUGGCAAGCGUUGUCCGGAAUUAUUGGGCGUAAAGCGCGCGCAGGCGGUUCCUUAAGUCUGAUGUGAAAGCCCACGGCUCAACCGUGGAGGGUCAUUGGAAACUGGGGGACUUGAGGGCAGGAGAGGAGAGCGGAAUUCCACGUGUAGCGGUGAAAUGCGUAGAGAUGUGGAGGAACACCAGUGGCGAAGGCGGCUCUCUGGCCUGUACCUGACGCUGAGGCGCGAAAGCGUGGGGAGCAAACAGG